GUUUUAAAGGAGCUGAUCCCUCACUGGAGGUACAGUGUGAGGGUACGAUGUGGAACAGCUCAGCACUUCUGGAGGUGGGGGGACUGGAGCAGAGACUUGGUCUUUCACACCAGAGGUGAUGUUCCAGAGGCUCUGAAUGUGUGGAUGCAGAUGAAGGAAAACCACACACUGGUUAUGUGGAAAAAGCUGCUGGCCAAUCAGAGCCACGGAGAGAUCCUGGACUAC
Salarias fasciatus (jewelled blenny) is the source of this 225-nucleotide long non-coding RNA. RefSeq lists it as uncharacterized. The record is from RefSeq and is a predicted model, not a curated record. NCBI's taxonomy places the organism in Eukaryota, Metazoa, Chordata, Actinopteri, Blenniiformes, Blenniidae. The transcript has 3 exons.